RNAcentral lists this long non-coding RNA (1109 nucleotides) under Rattus norvegicus (Norway rat). RNAcentral describes it as "long non-coding RNA NONRATT015389". The record is from RNAcentral. Lineage: Eukaryota; Metazoa; Chordata; Mammalia; Rodentia; Muridae.
CGUUCUGAUCGGUUGACUAUUCCCAAAAUACAGUUCACCGACAGGAGUCGUUUCUUCUUGGGAAAUUCCCUUACAGCAACUUCAAAGGAAUGGAAAGGUACUGAUCUUAGGUGAAACAAAACAGAAGCAUUAGGGUAGAGAGAAAGCGGCAACAGCCAAGUGCCUCUGUGCACAUGUGUGCUCUGAGUAGCUCAAAGCAGCAAGAAGAAAUGGUUCCAUAUUUGCUGAGGCAAGGGAUGGCAUUCAGGCAUCAGAAUGAUAACUCUACCACCUGAGCCUGGCUGGGAAUUCUACACCAAGUGACAUUUGAGUGUUGUCUUUUGAUGGCUUGUUUGGGUUUGAUUUAGUUUGGUUUUAUUUUCUUUAACUGAAGUGCGUGCACAGAAGGAGCUCAGGAGACAGAACUGGUGAAAGAGAUGUUAGCUGACUUGGACGACUUGAGGCUGUCAUUGCUAUUUCUUGAUGAAUGUCCUAUAAGUUGGUCCAGAUUCCAUGCAUGUGUGAAAGGCCAGGAAAGGUCUCUGGUGACCCAGGCUUUGGUUGGGCCACAAAGGCUUCAGCACUCCUGCUGCCUUUGGUGGUUGUGUUUUGAUCAGCUUCCUUCUCUGCACCUUGAUGGACCUCAGAAUCAGAAGGCAAGCCCAGCAGGAGGUAGAGGAGGGCUCUCUGGUUGGUGUUGCCCAUCCAACCAGGGAUGCUAGCUGGCCACCGGUUGUCUGCUAGUGGGGACAGCCAGCGAGCAUCAGUGUGAACUCAGGAAUAGAAACAUGGGGCCUUUAAAAUGAGAGGAGGAAAAUCCAUGAUGCAUAUCUGUAAUCCCCUAGAACCCAAGUGCCGGAAUUCAUUCUAGAUGCUGCUUCUGUUUGAAUAAAGCCACUGCUUUUACACUUGAAAUUGAACUCCAUGAAAAAUGCUUUUGGACUUUUAUGAAACUAUUUGCUGUUUGUUUCCUUUGAUUGCCAUUCCACCAGUAAUUUCUUGGUUGAUUGGAACUGCACACAGUUGGAGUUUGGACCUGGGGAAGGGUCUGUCUGCAGAGCAGAACUCGGGCUUGCUCAGGAAGUGGACCAGGAAAUGUAGUGAUCACUGAUACUUCCUGGGGCAAAGGA